This 290-nucleotide small RNA is filed under the name Pseudonocardia sp. CNS-004. Its description in RNAcentral is "5' ureB small RNA". It matches the Rfam family "5' ureB small RNA". Lineage: Bacteria; Bacillati; Actinomycetota; Actinomycetes; Pseudonocardiales; Pseudonocardiaceae. The record is from Rfam by way of RNAcentral.
CGGUGUCGACCAGUCCCGGGGUGAUGAAGUGGACGUGGCAGUCGAUCCCACCGGCGGUGAGGAUCUUCCCGUUCCCGGAGACCACCUCCGUGGACGGGCCGAUCACCAGCGCCUCGUCGACGCCGUCCAUCGUGUCCGGGUUGCCCGCCUUGCCGAUGCCGACGAUCCGCCCGUCGCGCACACCGACGUCGGCCUUGACCACGCCCCAGUGGUCGAGCACCACCGCGCCGGUGAUCACGAGGUCGGGGGCGCCCUCCGCGCUCGUGCGGGUGGACUGGCCCAUCGACUCG